Molecule: non-coding RNA, 99 nt
Organism: Conoideocrella luteorostrata
Lineage: Eukaryota; Fungi; Ascomycota; Sordariomycetes; Hypocreales; Clavicipitaceae
Source: the annotation of a GenBank genome assembly
ACCAAGAUGGCCGAGUGGUUUAAGGCGGUGCAUUUAAGCUAUUUUUAGCACUGAACUGCACUAUCGAAAGAUGCCUGGGUUCGAACCCCAGUCUUGGUA